GACGAACCGUACGAACGUUAUUCGGAAUCACUGGGCUUAAAGGGUGCGUAGGCGGCGCGACAAGUUGGGUGUGAAAUCCCUCGGCUCAACCGAGGAACUGCGCCCAAAACUGUCGUGCUCGAGGGAGACAGAGGUGAGCGGAACUUAGGGUGGAGCGGUGAAAUGCGUUGAUAUCCUAAGGAACAACGGUGGCGAAAGCGGCUCACUGGGUCUCUUCUGACGCUGAGGCACGAAAGCUAGGGUAGCGAACGGG
This 253-nucleotide ribosomal RNA is filed under the name uncultured bacterium. Its description in RNAcentral is "partial 16S ribosomal RNA". It matches the Rfam family "Bacterial small subunit ribosomal RNA", at positions 524 to 776 of the family's 1533-position model. The record is from RNAcentral.